This 1343-nucleotide long non-coding RNA is filed under the name Callithrix jacchus (white-tufted-ear marmoset). RNAcentral's name for it is "lncRNA (ENSCJAG00000083953.1)". Lineage: Eukaryota; Metazoa; Chordata; Mammalia; Primates; Cebidae. The record is from RNAcentral.
GAGUUAGGCUCAGUGGACCUCUCAUUUGGAGGGAGGGGAGCCAAAACAUGGGUCUGUCUUUUAAAACCCUGAGAUUAUAUCUCAUAACUAGAGUUGGGACUUUCACCUCAGUAAGUGCCAGUGAUCUUUUCCAAGAGCCGAUCUCAGAGGUAGCAAUAACAAAUUGGAAUGAGGGGCAGACUGGUCACAGACAUAGAAAUUGAUACUUAAAAGGAGGAAUAGACACUUUCCAGGAAGUGGAAGGAAGUAGACCAGGAGCUUUUGAGGCAGAAUACAGAAAAGUGAAGGUCAGCAGGAGUGUGGCAUAUCGGGGGAGGGAAGUGAACUAUGGGUAUUUUGUUCAACUGUGUUAGCCUCUCUUGAGAAGCUAACAGCCUUAUUCUUGUGUGAGAAGUGCCAGAAGAAAAGGUAAGUGUUAGUUGCACAUAAUUUACAUCUCCACUGCUAUAGAAACCAAGAGGUUUUUGUUUGUUUUUUUUUUUGGCAAAAUGGGUAAGUAGACUCUCAAUCAAAAAUCACCUUAUACAUUUUUCUUUGAAAGUGAUCAGUUUUAAGUCACUGUAAGUAAUUUUCAAACCUAUAAGCCGAUUUUUGAAGCAAUGCUGGUUCUUUCGGAAGAGUUAUUUCAGUAAGCUUUCCUAGUUCAUAAAAUUGAUUUUGUUGGUUUCCAGAGCUAUUCUGGGAUGAAAAGAAAACUACCCUUCAAUCUAAAAGGAGUUCUUAGCUGUUGUAGACACUGUCUUAUUUUUAUUAGAUUGUUUAAACACACACACAAUUGAUAAUAGUGUAACAAACUUGCAGUUUGAUCCCUAUUUCUUGUCUUCUACAAAUGCUAAAAAAAACAAAAACAACAACAAAAAAAACCACACACACACACACACACACACACACACACACACCAAAAAACAAAACUCUACUGCUUAACAAAAAAUUAAGUGGAAAAAUUUCCAAUUAGUUUGUGCUGCAGAUGUGAAGAGCUGGCUAUUUCUGUCUUCUCAGGUCAGAAAAGAGCUAAACUUCGACCUUAGAAGAUGAGUAAUAACAUGUGUUUGAAGCAGUCUGAUUGAAGGAAGGCAUCCAAAAAGGCCUAGGGUUGUUGGAAACAGCAAGUAAAAUAAUAGCAAAUGUGUUGUCAUAACAAAACAAGCUGGAGACUUCCCAAGGUAGAAGAAAGAUGAUCUUUUGUAGCAUGCAAAAGCUGAAAGAAGGGGCUGGAACUCACAGAUUGAAGGCACGAGCUAAGACCUUUAAUACAUAUUAGUUAUUCUAAUUCUCUGUAAAGUAGAUAUGAUCCCUCCCAUUUUAUGAAUGAGGACAUUAAGGUUUUGAUGUCUUGUCAUUUG